UACAGAGGGGGCAAGCGUUGUUCGGAAUUACUGGGCGUAAAGCGUGCGCAGGCGGUGAUGUAAGACAGAUGUGAAAUUCCCGGGCUCAACCUGGGAACUGCAUUUGUGACUGCAUCGCUAGAGUACGGCAGAGGGGGAUGGAAUUCCGCGUGUAGCAGUGAAAUGCGUAGAUAUGCGGAGGAACACCGAUGGCGAAGGCAAUCCCCUGGACCUGUACUGACGCUCAUGCACGAAAGCGUGGGGAGCAAACAGG
Molecule: ribosomal RNA, 253 nt
Filed under: uncultured bacterium
Lineage: Bacteria
Description: partial 16S ribosomal RNA
Rfam family: Bacterial small subunit ribosomal RNA
Source: RNAcentral